CACUUAUGUUCUUCCUCAAGCUCUUCCUUCCUAGACUUUUUGGUCUUUCUAUUGCUUGUCUCAGGCUCCUACAGCCAGUACUUUUGCCCUUGCUGCUCUUGGCAAAUGCCCAAAUGCAAACGCUAUCCUUGCUCUAGUCCAUCAGGGAGCUGUCAGCCCGGUCCAAGCACACUCCCGUUUCUUUGAGAACAGAGUCUGUGUUGUUCACUCUGGCACUAGCAGCCUGCAUCAGGAGUUCAUGCUGCCAUCUUCAUGGCCACCAACAAUCUGGAGAAGGAGGGAUGGCAAGCAGGCAGUUUAAAACACCAAAGUGCUUUCUUAGUACAUUGCAGCAGCUUCUUUCUUCAUUAUACUUUCCCCAGUUGCUAGUCAUUGCCCUGCAGGUUUUUACACACCACUGCUCUUCAUUCCAUCAAGACAGCGAGCGAUGUAGCAUUUCUUUAGAAAGUGCUCUCCGCCAUCAUCCUCAGGAUUCACUCCCAGCCACUGGCACCCAUAUGUGGACAAAGACAAAUAUCCUAACUGACACUCUGGACAACAGUGAUUGUCACAUGCAUCCCAAUUUCAAUAAAAUAUAAAAAAAGUGCACUUAAUAAUUGACAAGAUGUGGGAUGUAUUUUUCCUGAGAAGUCAGAUGAGGAAGUGAUUAAGUAAGUCACAGAAAGCACCAUCGAGGCAGGCACCAUUGCUCUUGCCAGCAGAGUAGUGCAGAGGAGAAAGAGCUCUCGGUGGAACCAUCAGCUUCACACACAGGAAACCAGGCAGGUCCUGGGUAUUUGGAGUUGAGUCAGGUGCCAGUUGUUGUGAGAGGAAAUUGACUUCUUGAAGUGGGCAGUGGAGGGCUCCCACUUGAGAACUGAAACUCCAUCCUCUAGGCCAAGAAAACAUCAGCAGAUUCUAAGGAACACAGUGACGGGACGGGCUCUCUUGGGUGGCCAUCUGGAGAAUGGAUUGGAAAGGGAGAGCAAGCUGUGAGUCCAGACCUGCUGCACCCUUCCUGGGGGAGCAGGUGCAGCUGCAGCAUCACUGCCAUCAAGGAGGCAGCUGGGGACCUGGGGUGCAAGGAGGCUGGCAGAGGGGCUACUGGGUGUGGGCCAGGGAGGGAUGAAUCCACCUGAUAAAAAUGUAGGCUGGGAAGACAAAUUGCUUUUCCUUUUCUGUUGAGGAGAAUGUGAGCAGGUAUUUGGCAGGUGGGACACCCAACCCACAGAAUCCAAUUCUUGUUGUCAGUUCUGGCUACUUUACAAUCUGGGGACUCAGCCUUUUAGAUUCCAGAAGCUGAAGUGCACAUAGAAAUUGUUACCAAUCACAGCAGGUUUCAAUGACAUGCACAAGCUUUAACAGCAUGAGGGGUGCGUGACCCCAACAACCACUGGUUUUGUUCCUUUGACUCUGUCUUUCCUUUUCCAAACUCACACAUUGCGAAUAAGGUUCAUCCUGAAAAGUCAGUAUUUUUGGAUAUAAACAUGUAACAUAUAAAAAUUUCAUGGCCGGGUGCGGUGGCUCACGCCUGUAAUCCCAGCACUUUGGGAGGCCAAGGCAGGCAGAUUACCUGAGGCCAGCAGCUGGAGACCAGCCUGGCCAACAUGGUGAAACCUCGUCUCUACUAAAAAUACAAAAAUUAACUGGGCGUGGUGGCACACACCUAUAAUCCCAGCUACUCGGGAGGCUGAGGCAGGAGAAUUGCUUGAGCCGGGGACAUGGAGGUUGCAGUGAGCCAAGAUUGUGCCACUGUACUCCAGCCUGGCCAACAGAGCGAGACUCUAUCUAAAAAAAAAAAAAAAUCGCUAUUGUGACCCAAAACUCGGGAAAAUAAGCCAUAAAUUUAAAAUAGCCCGAAGGCAGAAGGGAAACAAAACCAUCUAAUCUGAUAGCUGAGAAUAACAAUCUGAAGAAAGCACUAAAAAGUUUCCCACCUCUUGAAACUUCAUUUCAUAUUUACGUUUAGAGAGCACUCCUCAAAAACGUUUUAUUUUUUCAGACUGUAAUUUGGAGCAGAACUGCUCUUCUGCCAUUUCAAUUAUCCAAAUAUGAUCCCUAGGAUGAGAGAGAGCUGAAUUAUGGUCAACUUCGUCCUAUGAAUGAAGGGGAGCCAGAUUGGCUUUUGGACCCCAACAAACAGCUUAUAUUAACUCAAACACAUUUUAACCGUUUUCAACCUCCUGA
Molecule: long non-coding RNA, 2166 nt
Filed under: Homo sapiens (human)
Lineage: Eukaryota; Metazoa; Chordata; Mammalia; Primates; Hominidae
Description: HSALNT0136384
Source: RNAcentral